CCUACGGGUGGCUGCAGUGGGGAAUAUUGGACAAUGGGGGGAACCCUGAUCCAGCCAUGCCGCGUGUGUGAAGAAGGCCCUCGGGUUGUAAAGCACUUUCAGUGAGGAAGAACGCCUGGUGGUUAAUACCCAUCAGGAAAGACAUCACUCACAGAAGAAGCACCGGCUAACUCCGUGCCAGCAGCCGCGGUAAUACGGAGGGUGCGAGCGUUAAUCGGAAUUACUGGGCGUAAAGCGCGCGUAGGUGGCUUGAUAAGCCGGUUGUGAAAGCCCCGGGCUCAACCUGGGAACGGCAUCCGGAACUGUCAAGCUAGAGUGCGGGAGAGGAAGGUAGAAUUCCCGGUGUAGCGGUGAAAUGCGUAGAGAUCGGGAGGAAUACCAGUGGCGAAGGCGGCCUUCUGGACUGACACUGACACUGAGGUGCGAAAGCGUGGGUAGCAAACAGGAUUAGAUACCCUGGUAGUC
Molecule: ribosomal RNA, 465 nt
Filed under: Vreelandella stevensii
Lineage: Bacteria; Pseudomonadati; Pseudomonadota; Gammaproteobacteria; Oceanospirillales; Halomonadaceae
Description: partial 16S ribosomal RNA
Rfam family: Bacterial small subunit ribosomal RNA
Source: RNAcentral